This is a long non-coding RNA of Prinia subflava (tawny-flanked prinia), 2776 nucleotides long. RefSeq lists it as uncharacterized. The transcript has 3 exons. Lineage: Eukaryota; Metazoa; Chordata; Aves; Passeriformes; Cisticolidae. The record is from RefSeq and is a predicted model, not a curated record.
UUGUGCAGCACUUAGCAGCUGCUUUACUAAUACAUAUUAUUUUUAGGAAAUCAGCUCUAUUUUUAAGUUUUUAGAGUCUGAAGCAUUCUGAAGAUGUUCUCAAAUGUAUUUCUCUACCCUUAAUGAAGCAAAAAAUAGCACAGAAGGUUAAAAAAUGAUCUCACUGUAAAACGAGGCUUGAAAUCAGUCUAAAGCAGUCACACCUAGUCUGGGCUUCAGCUGCCUAGCAGUAAUACAGCAGGUAAAGAAGUAGUGUGCAUUACAGAAUGACAGCCUGAUUCACUUUGAUUUUGGAAACAUGAAAACAAUGCAGCCUCGUCCUGGAGAAGUUAUCUCUGGUUUUCAUUAUUAACUGCUGUUCUGGAAUCAGGCAUGUUCUAGUUACUCAUGUUGCCCACUUUUCCUCUCACUUCCCUUGCCUCUCAAAGUCCAGGGGACUUGCAGCCAAAUAUUCCGCUCUGACUAGGCAGUGUCAUCUGAGGGGGGGGGAAAAGGUGAUGCAGCUGCUCUGCUGUGCCAUUGGUACAGCUGCUGAUAAAACUGGGUGAGAAGUAAUGCUGGUGAGACACAGAGUUUAAGGGCUUAUGUUUUCAUGUAUCUGUAAUAAUACCAACUCUAUUAAAUUAUCAGAAAGUAUAGAGAUUUGUUAAACCUCUGUGUACAAUGCUGUUCCAAGUGAGUAUUUUGGUAAGCUGCCCUUUAUGUAGAUAUCUGUACAAUAUAAGCUUAUGCUCCAAUAAGAAAGAAAAUGUUUUGGAUUAUCCUGGGAUGAUGAGGAGUCGUUAUGUGAAUUACAGAAGUAUAAAUUACUGUCUGUUAGUUUAACUAGUCUGUGAGAGGGGUAAGUUGCCAGAGAAGCACCAGGGAAACCAGUCAGUAAGAGGAUUCAAAAGCACUACCUAAACUUAAGAGGUCAGGAAAGCAUGAAGGGUGGAGGCUUCCUCUUGCUUUCUCCUAUUCAUUUUCUCUCUUUACUUAUAGACUCAGCAGUUUUUGGCACUUCUCCCUUUGCAGUAGUUCUGUGAUCUUCUGCAGGUGGACACUGCUGACAUAUUUUGUAGAGGCAGGUGAUGGAGUGACUUUGGUGGGUACCUGGAAUCCAGCCAAAGUCAAACAACUGUAUUCAGUCUCCAGUAAACUGAGUGGGCAUCAUGUUGAGAUUUUGGAUUACAGUGUCAGCUGAUGAAGUGAUAAUUAUAUACAUAAUUAAUUCUUCAUAUUCACCAUUCUUCUAUGGACUCUUUAUGGAUGUGAUGAAGUCACAGAGAAAAUUUCCACUUUAGGUAGGUUUUUUUGGGGUUUUUUUGUGGUUGUUUAAAAAUUAUAUAUAGCACAAAGGUCAGCAGUUGUGGGCUAAGUCAGAGCAAAGUUCCCCUCUUCUUUUUUUUUUUUUUUUUUUUUUUAAUAGCUGAAGUGAUACAACAAAGCUGACAAGUAGAGGAGGAAUACUUUCUUCUAGCAUAUCCAGUCACAUCAGAUUGUAAAACAUAUGAAAUGGAAAAUUUUUAUAAAAUGAGUAAACUGAUGCUGUGAUUAUAGCAUACAUUUCUCAAAUUAAAGCACAUGGUGAAUAUGAUACAAUGUGCCUGCCAUACUGUGAAAUAGCAAAACCACACAUUCCAACAGUAAGGACUUUCAGGGUGGUGUCCUGCAUACUAUAUUCAAAGGAUCUCACUGCUGAUUCAGAAAACCUCGUGUGAUCAAGAUCUUCAUCUCUCCCUUCUGGUUAUAUUUUAACACUUCCUAAGAACAAAUUACUUACUAACAAGAUUUGUGAAAAAGAUUGAGAACAAUAUAUGGCACACCUGGAGACCAGUCCUAGAUAUAAGGUCUGGGCCGUCUGACAGAUGGAACUGGGGGCAAGUUAUUUUUUUGGAACAACAACAACUUUAAAAAAAAUCAAACCAAAAAACCUCAAAAAAAGGAUGUUUCGAUUCUCAGUUCCCAGACAAAUGAAGUUGUGGAAGUUAGGUGUCUGUUUCCCUGAAAGCAGCUCCUCUGCUCAGAACACAGCUCUCAUGGCCCUCAGUAGUUAUAAAGUACUUUGCACUUCUUCAGUUCAGAGCCUGAGAGUGGAGAAAAUCAGUUUGCAAAUAGACAUUUAAAAGACUCUGUGCAUUGGUCAUCUGUACUGGGAAUGUUUGGCUCAGUGGUAUAUUGAGUGUCACAGAAAAUAUUCAGUGCCAAGGGAUAAUCUUGCUUUCAUCUCUCAGCUCUGCAACUCUUUGCUGCUUGUUUACUUUCUUAUCACAUUGUCUCACACACCUCCAGCAUCUCUUCUGGUUUUGCAACUCAGUUUCUGCUUUUCUUAUUUGCUCUAAAAUAGCCUGCUUCUUUUUCCAUCACUCUGUUCCCUGGGUCUUUUUAGAGCAGCCACUGAGUUGUUCUGCCAUGGCAGAUACAAUUCCAGGGAAAGUCCUGUUUGUCCCUCAGGCUUUGUAGACAUCUGACCAGAGAGGAUAGGGUUUUAUAGGUUUAGCUAUCAAACCACUGAGCAGAUACAAAUGGAAACAUUCAGGGCCUAUCAACUAGUUUGAAUGGACAUUCAGAACAGAAAAAAACCCCCAUUAUAGGAAGUGAUCCAUGUGAAGCUCCUGCUCAAAAGAACAGAGGAGCCCUAAAAAAUAUCCUUAAAAAGUUCUACCAUGGUGGUUCCACCAUAUUGUUUAAUUUCUGAGGGAAUCACUUAUUUACUUCUGAAAAACGAACAUGAGAAAUGCUUCAGUAUAAACAGGUAAAAGUUGGAAAACAUGUAAGCAAUUGUUAGAAAAUUUUA